Molecule: ribosomal RNA, 468 nt
Filed under: uncultured bacterium
Lineage: Bacteria
Description: partial 16S ribosomal RNA
Rfam family: Bacterial small subunit ribosomal RNA
Source: RNAcentral
GACGAACGCUGGCGGCGUGCUUAACACAUGCCAGUCGAACGGAAAGGCCCUGCUUUUGUGGGGUGCUCGAGUGGCGAACGGGUGAGUAACACGUGAGUAACCUGCCCUUGACUUUGGGAUAACUUCAGGAAACUGGGGCUAAUACCGGAUAGGAGCUACUGCUGCAUGGUGGGGGUUGGAAAGUUUCGGCGGUUGGGGAUGGACUCGCGGCUUAUCAGCUUGUUGGUGGGGUAGUGGCUUACCAAGGCUUUGACGGGUAGCCGGCCUGAGAGGGUGACCGGCCACAUUGGGACUGAGAUACGGCCCAGACUCCUACGGGAGGCAGCAGUGGGGAAUAUUGCACAAUGGGCGGAAGCCUGAUGCAGCAACGCCGCGUGCGGGAUGACGGCCUUCGGGUUGUAAACCGCUUUCGCCUGUGACGAAGCGUGAGUGACGGUAAUGGGUAAAGAAGCACCGGCUAACUACGUG